UACAGGGGGUGCAAACGUUGCUCGGAAUCAUUGGGCGUAAAGCGCACGUAGGCGGUUCGUUAUGUCGGAUGUGAAAGCCCUUGGCUUAACCGAGGAAGUGCAUCCGAAACUGGCGAGCUAGAGUACGAAAGAGGAUCGCGGAAUUCCCAGUGUAGAGGUGAAAUUCGUAGAUAUUGGGAAGAACACCGGUGGCGAAGGCGGCGACCUGGUCCUUUACUGACGCUGAGGCGCGAAAGCGUGGGGAGCAAACAGG
This 253-nucleotide ribosomal RNA is filed under the name uncultured bacterium. RNAcentral's name for it is "partial 16S ribosomal RNA". It matches the Rfam family "Bacterial small subunit ribosomal RNA", at positions 524 to 776 of the family's 1533-position model. The record is from RNAcentral.